CUGAGUCUGUAAAACAUCUAAUGAUUGCUAUUAUAAUACUGCUGCUGCUGCUGCUAGUGAUCUCAGCUUCAGCUGUGUUGAUGUCCAGUCGCAGGAGACACAAACAAUCAACACAAGAAACUCGGACUACUGUGGAAGAGGUGGAGUAUACUGAUGCCAUGAUUACUACAAACAAAGCUCAAGAUUCGGAGACUAAUGGACAGAAUCAGACAGAGUAUUCAGAGGUGUUUUUCAGAUGAUGAUCAUUCAGACUGUAUUAUUAUAAAGCUCAUCUUAUUACAGGCCAGAGCAUUUUGGAGCAAAUAUCAGAAUGUAACAAAGCUUCAAGUCUCAAAGUUGCACUGCAAAUCUACUGGUUGUGGCAUUGUUUACUACAAAUGAUAAAAGUACUUGAUGAAGAGAAUUUGAUCCUUAACAAGAAAAAAUACUAGAAUUGUAGAGUUUUCACAACAGGCAACCUUUCACUUAAUUUAAUUUCUGACCUCAAUCUUGUCUGAGGCUGCACAGCUUCAUACCUUCAUACCUAGUAUAAUCAUGUCUAGACUUGAGUUUAGCUGGUUUGUGUAGUAUAAUUUUCACACCCAUCCAAGUGAUUCAUAUCCUAGUUCUGAUUAUAAAACAAUAGUCAUGAAAAACUGGGCAAAAAUAGCUCAAAAGAAA
Carassius auratus (goldfish) is the source of this 660-nucleotide long non-coding RNA. RefSeq lists it as uncharacterized. NCBI's taxonomy places the organism in Eukaryota, Metazoa, Chordata, Actinopteri, Cypriniformes, Cyprinidae. The transcript is spliced from 3 exons. The record is from RefSeq and is a predicted model, not a curated record.